GAUGAAGAACGUAGCUAAAUGCGAUACUUGGUGUGAAUUGCAGAAUCCCGUGAACCAUCGAGUCUUUGAACGCAAGUUGCGCCCGAAGCCACUAGGCCGAGGGCACGCCUGCCUGGGCGUCACACGUCGUUGCCCCCCCCCCAUCUACUCCUUCGGGAUUGCGGGGGGCGGAUGAUGGCCUCCCGUGCGCCUAGCCGCGCGGUUGGCAUAAAUACCAAGUCCUCGGCGACGCACGCCACGACAAUCGGUGGUUGCGAAACCUCGGUUGCCCGUCGUGUGCGUUCGUCGCGCAUCGAGGGCUCGAAAAAAUGCUCGGCUCCGGCUCGGCUUUCAACGCGACCCCAGGUCAGGCGGGGUUACCCGCUGAAUUUAAGCAUAUCAAUAAGCGGAGGA
RNAcentral lists this unclassified non-coding RNA (393 nucleotides) under soil metagenome. Its description in RNAcentral is "partial contains 5.8S ribosomal RNA, internal transcribed spacer 2, and large subunit ribosomal RNA". The stretch from base 1 to 122 matches the Rfam family "5.8S ribosomal RNA", at positions 35 to 154 of the family's 154-position model. The record is from RNAcentral.